UACGGAGGGGGCUAGCGUUGUUCGGAAUUACUGGGCGUAAAGCGCACGUAGGCGGACUGGAAAGUUGGGGGAGAAAUCCCGGGGCUCAACCUCGGAACUGCCUUCAAAACUAUCGGUCUGGAGUUCGAGAGAGGUGAGUGGAAUUCCCGGUGUAGCGGUGAAAUGCGUAGAUAUUCGGAAGAACACCAGUGGCGAAGGCGACUUACUGGACGACUGUUGACGCUGAGGUGCGAAAGCGUGGGGAGCAAACAGG
RNAcentral lists this unclassified non-coding RNA (253 nucleotides) under uncultured Paracoccaceae bacterium. Its description in RNAcentral is "uncultured Rhodobacteraceae bacterium contains 16S-23S intergenic spacer region". It matches the Rfam family "Bacterial small subunit ribosomal RNA", at positions 524 to 776 of the family's 1533-position model. The record is from RNAcentral. Lineage: Bacteria; Pseudomonadati; Pseudomonadota; Alphaproteobacteria; Rhodobacterales; Paracoccaceae.